RNAcentral lists this long non-coding RNA (2174 nucleotides) under Homo sapiens (human). Its description in RNAcentral is "HSALNT0275040". The record is from RNAcentral. Lineage: Eukaryota; Metazoa; Chordata; Mammalia; Primates; Hominidae.
UUCCACAUCUUCUACAAUAGGGACAGUAAUAGGUGGUGCACAGAGUGGGGAGGGAGUUAGAAGGGAAAGGACAGAGCACAAAAGAGGCAGCUGAGAAGUUGGGUUCCUCUGCCCUUCCUCCCUCUGUCUCAGCGCCAUCCCCCCCACUACUCUUUCCCCUCAACAGCGCUCCUCUUGCGGUCCUGCUGAAUAGUCAUCCAUUUGGAGGCUCUGGAUGGAGCUUUUGGUUUAAAGAGGAGGCCAGGAGAUGUAGAACAGCGAUAAGGAAAUGCACAUUAGAGAUAAAGGACCUGCUUAAUCAGUCACAAAGACCUGUCAAAGAACAGUUGUGAGUGCUUGUUCCUAAUGCUCCCUCCGUGGCAGGACUGGAGCCCCAGGGAGAGAAGGGAACUAAGCAGCUUCUCGCAUCCAUUCAUUCAACCACUGGGCAAACAUUGACCGAGCAGUUAUAUAGAGAGCGGCACCCACAGUAUUUGGUGACGAGACUGCCUCUGCCAUUGGGAGGUGUAUCCCAGUGAUAGACGCACUCAAGUCCUGGAGCAUUUCAACACAGUGCGCCACAUGCUGAGACAGGGGCUCAGCCCAGGGAGGCCACCUGGCCUUCGUGAAGCGGGAAGGGAAAGGUCUUCCAGGCCCAGCGGGUGUGUGCACCUGUGCAAAGGCCUCUGCAAAGCACGAGCCUGGCCGGUUUGGAGAACUGCAAAGAGGUCUCUCAUCCAGAGUGCAGAGAACACUGGCAGGGAUUGUGGCUGGAGAAAUGAAACGGAAUCCUGGGUGAUGCAGGUCCUCAGACAGCAGGGCUUUUAAAAGAUUCUGAGACAGCCAGUCCUCCCCUCCCUGCUGCUGGAGGAAGGCUCUUGAGAACAACACAGCAACCGUCAGACCAGGAAGGGCAGGCAGUCCUCCUGCUGUCCUGUCAACAGGUGGAAAUAAAAGUCCUUCACCCCAACAAGGCCACGGACCCCACGUCUGACGUAUAGAAAAGGCUGGCCAAAACAUGCACAAUCACACGAGAGGCCUUUUUUUUCCUACUUUUUUUUUUUAAGUUUUUAUUAUUAUUAUUUUUUAGAGAUAUGGUCUUGCUCUGUCGCCUGGACUGGAGUGCAGUGGUGUGAUUAUGGCUCACUGCAGCCUCAAACUUCUGCGCUCAAGCAAUUCUUCUGCUUCAGCCUCCCAAAGUGCUGGGAUUACAGGUGUGAGCCACCACGUCUGGCCCAGAGGGCCAUCUUUUGUCUUUGGAUUCAGAGCCCACUUUGAAGGUGGCAAGUCACAGAUGUUGGCAUAAUUGAUGAUGAUUCCUGGGGCAGCCAAAGGAAAGGACCAAAAUACAGACAGUCUCACCAGGCAUGACAGCAGUGAUAAAGAAAAAGCCACUCCCUUUUCCCCGCAGAAAAGAAAAUGAAAAAUAGGAAUGGAAGAAAGAAAACUACGGAGAGUUGUAAAGAUAAAUGUCGGUGCUUACAAAGUAUGGGAGUCUGGGCGUGGUGGCUCACGCCUGUAAUCCCAGCACUUUCAGAGGCUGAGGCGGGCGGAUCAGUUGAGAUCAGACGUUCGAGACCAGCCUGGUCAACAUGGUGAAACCUCCUCUCUACUAAAAAUACAAAAAUUAGCCAGCAGGCUAAUUUUUAUAUUUAAUUUUUAAAUUAGUGGCGGGUGCCUGUAAUCUCAGCUACUCAGGAGGCUGAGGCAUGAGAACCACUUGAACCCGGGAGGUGGAGGUUGUGGUGAAUGGAGGUGGCACCACUGCACUCCAGCCUGGGUGACAGAGCGAGAUUCCCGUCUCAAAAAAAACAAAAAAAGAGUGUGUGGGAGAUGAGAAACAGAAAGAUGGGAGGCAAGUGGCUUGGGCUUGAUCCCUCGGGAUGUUUCAGUGUUGCACUGAAAAUGAGGAGCUAGGCCGGGCGCGGUGGCUCAUGCCUGUAAUCCCAGCACUUUGGGAGGCCAAGGUGGGUGGAUCACAAGGUCAGGAGUUCAAGACCAGCCUGGCCAAGAUGAUGAAACCCCAUCUCUACUAAAAAAUAGAAAAAUUAGCCCGGUGUGGUGGUGGGUGCCUAUAAUCCCAGCUACUUGGGAGGCUGAGUCAGAGAAUUGCUUGAACCCGGAAGGCAGAGGUUGCAGUGAGCCGAGAUUGCGCCAUUGCACUCCAGCCUGGGCGACAGAGUGAGACUCCAUCU